This 197-nucleotide microRNA precursor is filed under the name Oryza rufipogon (brownbeard rice). RNAcentral describes it as "MIR812 microRNA precursor family". It matches the Rfam family "MIR812 microRNA precursor family". The record is from Rfam by way of RNAcentral. Lineage: Eukaryota; Viridiplantae; Streptophyta; Magnoliopsida; Poales; Poaceae.
AAACCGUGGGUUCCCGUGCCAACGUUUGACUGUCCGUCUUAUAUGAAUUUUUUUUAUAAUUAGUAUUUUCAUUGUUGUUAGAUGAUAAAACAUGAUUAAUACUUUAUGCGUGACUUGUCUUUUUAAUUUUUUUCAUAAUUUUUUCAAAUAAGACGAACGGUCAAACGUUGGACAUGGAAACCAGGGUUUGUCUUUUU